This 421-nucleotide unclassified non-coding RNA is filed under the name soil metagenome. RNAcentral describes it as "partial contains 5.8S ribosomal RNA, internal transcribed spacer 2, and large subunit ribosomal RNA". The stretch from base 1 to 120 matches the Rfam family "5.8S ribosomal RNA", at positions 35 to 154 of the family's 154-position model. The record is from RNAcentral.
GAUGAAGAACGCAGCGAAAUGCGAUAAGUAAUGUGAAUUGCAGAAUUCAGUGAAUCAUCGAAUCUUUGAACGCACCUUGCGCUCCUUGGUAUUCCUUGGAGCAUGCCUGUUUGAGUAUCAUGAAAUCUUCAAAGUCAAACCUUUUGUUAAUUCAAUUGGUUCUGCUUUGGUAUUGGAGGAUUAUUGCAGCUUCACACCUGCUCCUCUUUGUGCAUUAGCUGGAUCUCAGUGUUAUGCUUGGUUCCACUCAGCGUGAUAAGUUAUCUAUCGCGGAGGACACCCUGUUAAAAAGGGGUGGCCAAGGUAAAUGCAGAUGAACCGCUUCUAAUAGUCCAUUGACUUGGACAAUAUCUAAUUUAUGAUCUGAUCUCAAAUCAGGUAGGACUACCCGCUGAACUUAAGCAUAUCAAUAAGCGGAGGA